This 77-nucleotide non-coding RNA is filed under the name Streptomyces sp. The record is from RNAcentral. Lineage: Bacteria; Bacillati; Actinomycetota; Actinomycetes; Kitasatosporales; Streptomycetaceae.
GGGAAUCCGGUGCGAAUCCGGAACUGUCCCGCAACGGUGUAUUCAGUGUGCUUUUGCACACCCGAAGUCCGACGACC